RNAcentral lists this long non-coding RNA (945 nucleotides) under Brachypodium distachyon (stiff brome). Its description in RNAcentral is "long non-coding RNA (BDIS_LNC001680)". Lineage: Eukaryota; Viridiplantae; Streptophyta; Magnoliopsida; Poales; Poaceae. The record is from RNAcentral.
CAACACUUAUUAAUAGCAGCUAUUCUUGAACCGCUUCCCCCACAAACACACAGAUGCCUGGGUUAUUUCCCCACCCGGUGUAAUGAAUCGGUGCACAUCUUAGAGUUACCCAACCAACCACGCAAUAUAUCAACCUCAAAUUCUCAAUACAAAUCCAUAUGGUCGCAUAAAUUGAUGUAGGCUAGCUUCAGGGGAAAGGUAAAAAAAUUGAUUUAGGAGGGGAAAGGUAAAAGAAGAGGUAGACAUCUUAAAUUAGCAAAGAAAACCGUCGAGAAUUACGUGGUCAAAAGGUACACUGAGGGUCAAAAAUUUGCAGUUCUAGGUGCAAUCCAUGGCAUGCAGCUACACAGAAUAACGUUUCUGAAGAAGAUUACACAGGUCAGGAAAGCAUAGUCGUAGCACUUCAAGUCACGGCUACAGCUAGGAUGCUCACGUUACCUUCAGCUGCGAAGGCCAAGCUAAGGAACUCCUUUAAUUUUCUGGAACAAAGGGACUCGACUGUCGGGACAACAUGCGAUGGAUCUUCAGGGGUAGACGACGGCGUAGGCGCGGCGGCGUGGCUGCGAGCCGGCCACUAGAGCCGCCACGACGACGGCGAGGACGAGCAGCGCCAUGACGAUGUCCUCGUCCAGCGACAGCAGGCACAGCUUCUUCCCCAUGCUCUCCUUCUCUUCCUUUAUUUCUUUCCUUCUCCGAUGAAUGAAUCGAUCCCUGCAGAGUAGUAUAUAUAUGACGUGUGUAUACAGUGGACAUUUCAGAAGAAAGAAAAACUACACAUGCAAUUGGGAGGCUCUGUCUCUCCGGGUCAACUCAGCCGCGAGACCACAUCUUGAUGUCUUUAAUUAAACUUCUUCGGUUUUGAGAAAUUAAUUAGACUUGCGGAAAAGGGUCAUGCGACACAUGCGGCUGUUAGUUUUUUGCCGGCGUAUGGGCCCGGACGCCCGG